UAUAGAGACCUUUAGGUUUAGGCUGGGUAACUACAGAGACCUUUAGGCUGGGUAACUAUAGAGACCUUUAGGUUUAGGCUGGGUAACUAUAGAGACCUUUAGGUUUAGGCUGGGUAACUAUAGAGACCUUUAGGUUUAGGCUGGGUAACUACAGAGACCUUUU
Long non-coding RNA from Oncorhynchus tshawytscha (Chinook salmon), 163 nucleotides. RefSeq lists it as uncharacterized. Lineage: Eukaryota; Metazoa; Chordata; Actinopteri; Salmoniformes; Salmonidae. The record is from RefSeq and is a predicted model, not a curated record. The transcript has 3 exons.